GGGGGGGGGUUCAAGCUGCGCCUCCAACAGUGGGCCUGACCUACAUAUGAACUCAGUCCAUAUCUUUUGUGUCGUGUUCAGAACAGCGAUUCCAUCGAGAUCAAACUGUUUGUCGCUGCUCCGUCUUCUUUGCUGCUGGAUCCAGAACACCAGACCAGCCUGUGCAUCGUCUCUCGUGCCAGAUGCUGCAGCUGUGCGUCAAAAAGGAAACCCUUCCCUUUGAACGCCACACCUGCCGCGGCGUGUUUCUCCCGCCGCUCUCCGCCUUCGUUCUCUUCCUCCUCGACGCGUGUCGCUGCUUGCUGCCCCGGAAGCCGAGCGGGAAACGCGAGGGAGAACCACAGAUUCGUGCGGAGUUGUGUUUUCAUACACACACUCAUGCACGUGGCAGUAAAUCAUUAAAGAGCAGUCUGAGUUUAUGGUAAAGUGCACGUAUGAAAGGUGGAGCAACACUUCCAAUGAUUUAUUCAGUGAGUGUAAUAUCCAUGGCAUCAUUUAUGAGGCGGUGCGUUUGCGUGUGCGACGGGCACAAGAAGAGGCCACGCUGAUCAUAUUGGGAAAUAUUUUACGCGAUAAGUUUGCAAAUUGGGACUUUUUACACCUUGACUUCAUUUUACAUCCACACAAAGACUGGGAUGAAAAAUAAUGGCUCAGCGUGCAACGUCCAUUUUGCAGCAAGUGAGAGGAAAAAAAGACGAAGAUGCCAUUUGCAGUCCAGUGUUAAAACAGGAAGCCAGCAGGAAGCCAACAGGAAGCCCGGCCGCUUGCAGCCGACCUCAGACUGGCCGUUUACAUCUGGUCGUACACGACGUACCGGGCGCAGGAUGAAAUGUGGUUCCGGAAGCAAUGAAAAAGAAUGAAGACCCAGCAGAGUGACUCCCACAGUAGCGAGAGGAUCUCAAAACAAAUAUGCUCUUGGGGAAAAGUCACAGUUUGUUUAAACUCGCUUGUGUCGACCCCCCCCCCGUCCGGCCCCCACGAACGGAGAAGAGGAUCCGUGAGCUUCU
Gasterosteus aculeatus aculeatus (three-spined stickleback) is the source of this 1007-nucleotide long non-coding RNA. NCBI's taxonomy places the organism in Eukaryota, Metazoa, Chordata, Actinopteri, Perciformes, Gasterosteidae. The record is from Ensembl.